GAUGAACGCUGGCGGCGUGCCUAAUACAUGCAAGUCGAACGCACAGCGAAAGGUGCUUGCACCUUUCAAGUGAGUGGCGAACGGGUGAGUAACACGUGGACAACCUGCCUCAAGGCUGGGGAUAACAUUUGGAAACAGAUGCUAAUACCGAAUAAAACUUAGUGUCGCAUGACACAAAGUUAAAAGGCGCUUUGGCGUCACCUAGAGAUGGAUCCGCGGUGCAUUAGUUAGUUGGUGGGGUAAAGGCCUACCAAGACAAUGAUGCAUAGCCGAGUUGAGAGACUGAUCGGCCACAUUGGGACUGAGACACGGCCCAAACUCCUACGGGAGGCUGCAGUAGGGAAUCUUCCACAAUGGGCGAAAGCCUGAUGGAGCAACGCCGCGUGUGUGAUGAAGGCUUUCGGGUCGUAAAGCACUGUUGUAUAGGAAGAAUAAGGUAAACAGGGAAUGGUUUACUGAUGACGGUACUAUACGAGGAAGUCACGGCUAACUACGUGCCAGCAGCCGCAGUAACAC
RNAcentral lists this ribosomal RNA (516 nucleotides) under uncultured bacterium. Its description in RNAcentral is "bacterial SSU rRNA". It matches the Rfam family "Bacterial small subunit ribosomal RNA", at positions 28 to 526 of the family's 1533-position model. The record is from RNAcentral.